This 1091-nucleotide long non-coding RNA is filed under the name Marmota monax (woodchuck). The record is from RNAcentral. Lineage: Eukaryota; Metazoa; Chordata; Mammalia; Rodentia; Sciuridae.
AGAUGUAUUUUUUUUUUUUUUGAAUGGGUUGAUCUGGGUUGAAUCAGUGGAUGUAGAAGCUGUGGAUAUGGAGGGCCAUUGCACUUCUUCAGGAUGGCGGAACUCACUUUUGACUUGGCACUUCUUUUUCACUUCCUUCUACCAAAAGAGCACAUGGGAUUUUCUACUUUCCAUUCUAAGGUUGGAGCUGUUCCCUCUCCUGUAAGAAUCUGACUCACUGAAUGAAAUAGCUUAUGUUGUAUUCACUUCACUCCAAGAUGCUUCCUUAGAGAAUGUGUCUUUUCUCCUGAUCACUAUACACUUAUUUCCCGUGUAUAUUCCUAGAUGGUACAAGCAUUUCCAAUCCAUGAACAUCGUGGGCUGACAGGAAGCACACCACUCCUGCACUCAGCAUCCAUAUUGCCAAUCUCCACUGGACACUUCUGGAAACAUGCAGUAAACCUUCCACCAUCCCAGUUCUCCUGUGCAGUGAAGUGUUCCACAGCCACCAGUUCAGACACCAGAAGAUGCCAGGACUGGCAGAUGUCCCUCCUCUUAGCACAGAUCCAGUGGCUUCCUUCCUUAGUUGUCCUCCUCUGGAGCCUUACUUUGGACUUACAGCAAGGGUGACAAUUCAGAAUUCAGAGUGGAUUCUGAGAACAAACCCAUGGUCCAGGGCUCCAUUACGAGAUAUUCUAGGCCUUCUCCACAUAUCGUUGUUGGUUUAAGCAAAUAUCAAAACUGAAAGGCAGGAUCUGAGAGUGGAGAACUAAGGAAAGAAAUGCUUGAGCUCAGAGGAAAAGACGUGAGACCCAGUGAGAAGCAGCACACCCACACGCUGAGCACCACACUGCAGGGCCACGCUCGCAGGGGGCAGCCACAUGUCUUCUGUGGCCAAUCAUUUUUACAGUGCUGAUAGAUGUCUAGAGAGCAUGAUGUUACCUAGAGAUUUAAACCUGUGUCCCCCUUAUCAGGCCCAGCCUCAGAUGCCUCUUGUACAGGUGGACCCUUGGCUGUAGACCAUAGUGAGUGGCCAGACACACUGGACCCAGUCAACUGUACAUUCUGGGUGGUUUCCAGGCAGCAAAUAGAAGAAAUAAUUUUUAUCUGGC